Molecule: unclassified non-coding RNA, 543 nt
Filed under: Bombus terrestris (buff-tailed bumblebee)
Lineage: Eukaryota; Metazoa; Arthropoda; Insecta; Hymenoptera; Apidae
Description: misc RNA ENSBTSG00005027854.1
Source: RNAcentral
CGCAAGAGAAACAAAGGCAGAAGCGAGUAUCGAGUUUGCGUGCACGCAAGUCGGCGUUUUGUAUCGGGAUAAAACGAUAAGAAAGAAAACCGAUAACGCCCGUGUAAGUACGGCCCGCUCCAGUGUCACCUGCUAGAUGCAAGAAAGUAAAUGCACUCUUCUUCGGCUUCGAGGGCUGCCUCUUAUCGGGCUGCUAUUCAAUUUUCAUCGUGUGAAGUAGCACGGCCACUAAAACAAUGUCGAGCACCGCGACAAAAACCGUUUAAUAGAGACACGCCCGAUACCGACCCCUCGCUAUUUGUAUACCGCUUGUUACGACCGAGGUGUGGCGGCCAUCGUCAGCCGUUGUUUGUACCGCGGCAGGGCACUCGUUUGAACCAACCGGUACGCGCUAGUUAGAUCAAUAUCGCGUCCCUCCAAGUAAAUCAUAGAGAACAGCAUGCGAAAACACGCGACAUAAACUGGAAAUCCUCGAAUUUAUUCGGGGCCGCUCGCCUAAAGCGAAAUUAUUAACAGCGUUAUAAACCUCAUGAAAUAUCGUUC